RNAcentral lists this ribosomal RNA (427 nucleotides) under Pelophylax cf. bedriagae. RNAcentral's name for it is "partial 12S ribosomal RNA". It matches the Rfam family "Bacterial small subunit ribosomal RNA", at positions 14 to 792 of the family's 1533-position model. Lineage: Eukaryota; Metazoa; Chordata; Amphibia; Anura; Ranidae. The record is from RNAcentral.
UGGUCUAGCCUUACUAUCAUCUGUUUCUCAUUUUACACAUGCAAGUCUCAGCACCCCAGUGAGAACGCCCUUUUAACCUACACCAGGAGAAGGAGCUGGCAUCAGGCACAAUCCCUGCCCAUAACACCUAGUCUCACCACACCCCCAAGGGUAAUCAGCAGUGAUAAAUCUUAAAUAUAAGCGACAGCUUGAUUUAGUUAGAGAAAAGAGGGCCGGCUAACCCGGUGCCAGCCGCCGCGGCUACACCGUGGGGCCCGAGCUGAUAGUCACCGGCGUUAAGCGUGAUUAAAGCCCUCAACAAUUAGGGUUAAAUUAAUAUUUAGUAGUGAUAAGCUUGUUAUUAAGAAAACCAUAAACGAAAGUUACCCUAAUUACACUUGAAUCCACGACAACUGGGAAAACAAACUGGGAUUAGAUACCCCCACUA